This 1372-nucleotide ribosomal RNA is filed under the name uncultured bacterium. RNAcentral describes it as "bacterial SSU rRNA". It matches the Rfam family "Bacterial small subunit ribosomal RNA", at positions 28 to 1381 of the family's 1533-position model. The record is from RNAcentral.
GAUGAACGCUGGCGGCGUGCCUAAUACAUGCAAGUCGAGCGAACGGACGAGAAGCUUGCUUCUCUGAUGUUAGCGGCGGACGGGUGAGUAACACGUGGAUAACCUACCUAUAAGACUGGGAUAACUUCGGGAAACCGGAGCUAAUACCGGAUAAUAUUUUGAACCGCAUGGUUCAAAAGUGAAAGACGGUCUUGCUGUCACUUAUAGAUGGAUCCGCGCUGCAUUAGCUAGUUGGUAAGGUAACGGCUUACCAAGGCAACGAUGCAUAGCCGACCUGAGAGGGUGAUCGGCCACACUGGAACUGAGACACGGUCCAGACUCCUACGGGAGGCAGCAGUAGGGAAUCUUCCGCAAUGGGCGAAAGCCUGACGGAGCAACGCCGCGUGAGUGAUGAAGGUCUUCGGAUCGUAAAACUCUGUUAUUAGGGAAGAACAUAUGUGUAAGUAACUGUGCACAUCUUGACGGUACCUAAUCAGAAAGCCACGGCUAACUACGUGCCAGCAGCCGCGGUAAUACGUAGGUGGCAAGCGUUAUCCGGAAUUAUUGGGCGUAAAGCGCGCGUAGGCGGUUUUUUAAGUCUGAUGUGAAAGCCCACGGCUCAACCGUGGAGGGUCAUUGGAAACUGGAAAACUUGAGUGCAGAAGAGGAAAGUGGAAUUCCAUGUGUAGCGGUGAAAUGCGCAGAGAUAUGGAGGAACACCAGUGGCGAAGGCGACUUUCUGGUCUGUAACUGACGCUGAUGUGCGAAAGCGUGGGGAUCAAACAGGAUUAGAUACCCUGGUAGUCCACGCCGUAAACGAUGAGUGCUAAGUGUUAGGGGGUUUCCGCCCCUUAGUGCUGCAGCUAACGCAUUAAGCACUCCGCCUGGGGAGUACGACCGCAAGGUUGAAACUCAAAGGAAUUGACGGGGACCCGCACAAGCGGUGGAGCAUGUGGUUUAAUUCGAAGCAACGCGAAGAACCUUACCAAAUCUUGACAUCCUUUGACAACUCUAGAGAUAGAGCCUUCCCCUUCGGGGGACAAAGUGACAGGUGGUGCAUGGUUGUCGUCAGCUCGUGUCGUGAGAUGUUGGGUUAAGUCCCGCAACGAGCGCAACCCUUAAGCUUAGUUGCCAUCAUUAAGUUGGGCACUCUAAGUUGACUGCCGGUGACAAACCGGAGGAAGGUGGGGAUGACGUCAAAUCAUCAUGCCCCCUAUGAUUUGGGCUACACACGUGCUACAAUGGACAAUACAAAGGGCAGCGAAACCGCGAGGUCAAGCAAAUCCCAUAAAGUUGUUCUCAGUUCGGAUUGUAGUCUGCAACUCGACUACAUGAAGCUGGAAUCGCUAGUAAUCGUAGAUCAGCAUGCUACGGUGAAUACGUUCCCGGGUCU